Molecule: non-coding RNA, 582 nt
Organism: Lates calcarifer (barramundi perch)
Lineage: Eukaryota; Metazoa; Chordata; Actinopteri; Centropomidae
Source: the annotation of a RefSeq genome assembly
UCUCCUCCCUGUGAGGAGGAGUCAAUGCAAAACUCAGAUGUCUUCCACCUCUACUUAUCUGACUGCAGAGAGGAUGACAGAGAACAGUGGACACACAGUUUAACAUGAUGGACUAUAGGACAGGACUGCUGCUUUUAACUCUCUGCUGGGCAGGUGUUGAUGGUCAGACUCUGACACAAUCUGAACCAGUGGUUAAAAGACCUGGAGAAUCCCACAGACUGACCUGUACAGUCUCUGGGUUCUCACUCAGCAGCUACUGGAUGAGCUGGAUCAGACAGGCUCCUGGAAAAGGACUGGAGUGGAUUGCUACUGAUACUAGUGGUAGCAACUACUACUCUCAGUCAGUCCAAGGCCGGUUUACCACCUCCAGAGACAACAGCAGACAGCAGCUGUAUCUGCAGAUGAACAGUCUGAAGACUGAAGAUUCUGCUGUUUAUUAUUGUGCUCGAGAGUCACAGUGACUGGAGUUGGUUGAGCAGCUGUACAAAAACCUACAGUAUUCAUCAAACUUCCAUUACCUGAAAUGAGUGACGUCCUCAGUUAGCUCAAGAAAGUGAUUCAAUAAAGGUGCAUUGAAUACUA